RNAcentral lists this ribosomal RNA (253 nucleotides) under uncultured bacterium. RNAcentral describes it as "partial 16S ribosomal RNA". It matches the Rfam family "Bacterial small subunit ribosomal RNA", at positions 524 to 776 of the family's 1533-position model. The record is from RNAcentral.
UACGAAGGGGGCGAGCGUUGUUCGGAUUUACUGGGCGUAAAGGGCGCGCAGGCGGCUCAUUUUGUCAGGCGUGAAAGCCCCGGGCUUAACCUGGGAACUGCGUUUGAUACGGAUGGGCUAGAGUUCGGGAGAGGAGAGUGGAAUUCCCAGUGUAGAGGUGGAAUUCGUAGAUAUUGGGAAGAACACCGGUGGCGAAGGCGGCCCUCUGGACCGAGACUGACGCUGAGGCGCGAAAGCUAGGGGAGCGAACGGG